This 704-nucleotide ribosomal RNA is filed under the name uncultured Bacteroidales bacterium. RNAcentral describes it as "bacterial SSU rRNA". It matches the Rfam family "Bacterial small subunit ribosomal RNA", at positions 65 to 758 of the family's 1533-position model. Lineage: Bacteria; Pseudomonadati; Bacteroidota; Bacteroidia; Bacteroidales. The record is from RNAcentral.
AGGGGCAGCAUGGUCUUAGCUUGCUAAGGCCGAUGGCGACCGGCGCACGGGUGAGUAACACGUAUCCAACCUGCCGUCUACUCUUGGACAGCCUUCUGAAAGGAAGAUUAAUACAAGAUGGCAUCAUGAGUCCGCAUGUUCACAUGAUUAAAGGUAUUCCGGUAGACGAUGGGGAUGCGUUCCAUUAGAUAGUAGGCGGGGUAACGGCCCACCUAGUCUUCGAUGGAUAGGGGUUCUGAGAGGAAGGUCCCCCACAUUGGAACUGAGACACGGUCCAAACUCCUACGGGAGGCAGCAGUGAGGAAUAUUGGUCAAUGGGCGAGAGCCUGAACCAGCCAAGUAGCGUGAAGGAUGACUGCCCUAUGGGUUGUAAACUUCUUUUAUAAAGGAAUAAAGUCGGGUAUGGAUACCCGUUUGCAUGUACUUUAUGAAUAAGGAUCGGCUAACUCCGUGCCAGCAGCCGCGGUAAUACGGAGGAUCCGAGCGUUAUCCGGAUUUAUUGGGUUUAAAGGGAGCGUAGAUGGAUGUUUAAGUCAGUUGUGAAAGUUUGCGGCUCAACCGUAAAAUUGCAGUUGAUACUGGAUAUCUUGAGUGCAGUUGAGGCAGGCGGAAUUCGUGGUGUAGCGGUGAAAUGCUUAGAUAUCACGAAGAACUCCGAUUGCGAAGGCAGCCUGCUAAGCUGCAACUGACAUUGAGGCUCGAAA